AGCGGCAGGCCUAACACAUGCAAGUCGAGGGGUAACAUAAAGUGCUUGCACUUUGAUGACGACCGGCGCACGGGUGAGUAACGCGUAUACAAUCUGCCUCAUACUAGGGGAUAGCCCAGAGAAAUUUGGAUUAAUACCCUAUAGUAUCAUUUAGAGUCAUCUCUUUAUGAUUAAAGGUUACGGUAUGAGAUGAGUAUGCGUUCUAUUAGUUAGUAGGUGAGGUAACGGCUCACCUAGACCACGAUAGAUAGGGGCCCUGAGAGGGGGAUCCCCCACACUGGUACUGAGACACGGACCAGACUCCUACGGGAGGCAGCAGUGAGGAAUAUUAGACAAUGGGCGAAAGCCUGAUCUAGCCAUGCCGCGUGCAGGAUGACGGCCCUAUGGGUUGUAAACUGCUUUUAUACAGGAAGAAAAAACUCUACGUGUAGAGUCUUGACGGUACUGUAAGAAUAAGGAUCGGCUAACUCCGUGCCAGCAGCCGCGGUAAUACGGAGGAUCCAAGCGUUAUCCGGAAUUAUUGGGUUUAAAGGGUCCGUAGGUGGACAAUUAAGUCAGAGGUGAAAUCCUGCAGCUCAACUGUAGAAUUGCCUUUGAAACUGGUUGUCUUGAGUCAUUAUGAAGUGGUUAGAAUGUGUAGUGUAGCGGUGAAAUGCAUAGAUAUUACACAGAAUACCAAUUGCGAAGGCAGAUCACUAAUAAUGUACUGACACUGAUGGACGAAAGCGUGGGUAGCGAACAGGAUUAGAUACCCUGGUAGUCCACGCCGUAAACGAUGGUCACUAGCUGUUCGGACUUCGGUCUGAGUGGCUAAGCGAAAGUGAUAAGUGACCCACCUGGGGAGUACGUCGCAA
This 854-nucleotide ribosomal RNA is filed under the name uncultured Flavobacteriaceae bacterium. RNAcentral's name for it is "bacterial SSU rRNA". It matches the Rfam family "Bacterial small subunit ribosomal RNA", at positions 38 to 891 of the family's 1533-position model. The record is from RNAcentral. Lineage: Bacteria; Pseudomonadati; Bacteroidota; Flavobacteriia; Flavobacteriales; Flavobacteriaceae.